RNAcentral lists this ribosomal RNA (1654 nucleotides) under Triticum aestivum (bread wheat). Its description in RNAcentral is "partial small subunit ribosomal RNA". The stretch from base 705 to 829 matches the Rfam family "MIR1120/MIR1122 microRNA precursor family". Lineage: Eukaryota; Viridiplantae; Streptophyta; Magnoliopsida; Poales; Poaceae. The record is from RNAcentral.
CUUGUGGGUCGAGAUGGGGCGCGGCAGAUCUAAGGCGCACUCUUCCUAUCUAGAGAAGCACAUACAAAAAAAUUUGGCUUGGUUUUUUUGGAUGUGCUCCUCUAGCUAGGAAGAAGGAACGUAUACGUGGCUAUGAUGGUACAUCCCACCAUCAUCUUCUCCUUCUCCGGCUCUUCUAUUGCCAACUUGCUAGCAUUUUGCACUAACUUUUUUUCACUCCAACCACCGGAAUGUGACUCGUCCGAGGCAUCUACGUUGCUAGGAUGGCAUGCAAGUGUCCUAGCAAGCGUUCCCGUUCUCGCAAGCAAGCACCAGCCGGUAGGUCUAUCUUCCUACCACAUGGUUUGAGAUCUACACAUUUGGCUACCUUCCUAGGGUUUAGCUCGAUGUAAUUUCCAUCUCCCAUGUCCAUUUAACAUUGUUUGGGGAUCUAUGCUAUAGAGUAGUGCCAUGGAGAAGAUACGGUUACUGUUUCCCUGGACCUUAAUCUUACACAGUUCCUCCAUCACAGUCCCGCGACCACACCUUUGAUUUGAGGGUUCCAUUCCCCAACAAGGGUUUGGAGCAUCAAUGAGUUGAAGGCAAGAAGGACACACACACACCCAUAUGCUCACAUCGGUUUGCUCUCACACACUGUCCACGUAUGCCAUAAAGAAACGUUGCAUCCUGCAAGCAACACCACACAUUACAAAAGCUUGUCUUAUGAUUUACUCCUUCCGUUCGGAAUUAGUUGUCACAAAAAUGAAUAAAAAAGAAUAUAUCUACAACUAAAAUACAUCUAGAUACAUUCAUUUCUUGGACGAGUAAUUCCGAACGGAGGGAGUAUAUGAUAGAUUUUAAUCAUCUGUCUAGCUUGCAGGUGGUGCCUCAAGUUCAACUUUCUCCUGAUCAACUUCCUCUGCAGGGACGGACUCUUAAAUCUGAUUUGCUCGUUGCCGGUCCUAAAAUCUACUCUAAUGCAAUUUUCAGAUGUAAUAAAGUUGAGGGUUCUAUUCCCCAAGGGAUUGGAGCAUCAACGAGUUGGAGGCAGGAAGGACACACACCCCCAUGUGCUCACAUCGGUUUGCUCAGGAAGCGGCUCACACACUGUCCACAUCCAGCAGAAGGAAAGUCUUAUAUUGUGUAUGGGGCACCCAGAACGGAGAUGGCCAGAAGACAGCAGCCAGUUGUGCUGAGUUGGACGCCACCAAUGUCGGGAUGGAUGAAAUUGAACACAACGAGCCCUCUUUACAUGCAGAGAUGCAUUGGAGGCGGAACUAUGCACAUGCAUGGAGGGGCUCUCCCUGGCCAUUCAACGGACGGAUCUUCCUAUUGUCGUGGAGCUGGAUUCUCUCGAAGCGGUAUCUUUGAUAUCGGGUGCGGAGCUUGAUCGCUCAGUUUAUGCUUCAAUUGUGAAGGAGAUAAAGCUUUUGAUGAGUCCUAGACAAACUUGUAUUACUCAUGUAUCUAGAUCUCAAAAUAAAGCUAGUGAUAUGUUAGCUUCUUUUGCUAGAACUCAUGGUAGGACUAUGACCUGGCUAGGAGCUGGCCCGAGUGAGGUUUUGGAGAUUACCUCAGAUGAUUGUAAGGACAUUGUGAUUGAGUAAUACAAGUUUUCACCCCGCAAAAAAAAGUAAUUAAGAACCGAGACACAAUCGACCACGGGGUGAAGAAC